Mytilus californianus (California mussel) is the source of this 514-nucleotide long non-coding RNA. RefSeq lists it as uncharacterized. The record is from RefSeq and is a predicted model, not a curated record. The transcript is spliced from 4 exons. NCBI's taxonomy places the organism in Eukaryota, Metazoa, Mollusca, Bivalvia, Mytilida, Mytilidae.
AUUAAACUCCUUUUAACCAGUUGCGUGAGUAGACAUACCUUUAUUUACCUGGAUUGAACUACAUUUCACAAGUAGGGUAAUGACUACAGGUGGAAGAUCCAAUGGAUUUGGUUUUGUGUGUUUUAGUUCUCCAGAGGAGGCAAACAAAGCUAUCACAAAAAUGAAUGGUAGGAUUGUGGUAGCCAAACCUUUGUAUGUGGCUCCAGCUCAACGUAAAGAAGAUAGAAAUGCUCACUUGGCAUCACAGUAUAUGCAGCGUAUUGCCAGUCUCAAAAUGCGGGGACAGCCUUCUUUCAGUAUGAUGAGUCAGGUGUUCCCUUCAGCUGGAUCCGGGUAUAUACUUCCUACCAUGACAUAGGGACAGAUACAUUUCUAUGCCCCAAUAAAGGCGCCACAAAUGAUAACAAGUCCCCAACGUCCGACACAGCUACGAAGACCAGUUAAUGCUAUAAGUACAACUCCUGUACCUUCAAGGUUGAGAAAGUCAAACGUCCAGGGUGAUAUAAAUGUUCAG